RNAcentral lists this unclassified non-coding RNA (236 nucleotides) under Teratosphaeria sp. RNAcentral's name for it is "partial contains 5.8S ribosomal RNA, internal transcribed spacer 2, and large subunit ribosomal RNA". Lineage: Eukaryota; Fungi; Ascomycota; Dothideomycetes; Mycosphaerellales; Teratosphaeriaceae. The record is from RNAcentral.
CGCACAUUGCGCCCCUUGGUAUUCCGAGGGGCACGCCUGUUCGAGCGUCAUUUAAACCAUCAAGCCCGGCUUGGUAUUGGACGCGGUCGAGUGACCCGUCCGUAACCCGUUGGCGGUGCAGUCCGGCUUCGAGCGUAGCAAAACCCUCGCUUCAGGAGUCGGUACAGUGCCCGCCAGGUAAUGGCCACCUUUUAAAGUUUGACCUCGGAUCAGGUGGGGAUACCCGCUGAACUUAA